AACGAACGCUGGCGGCAUGCCUAACACAUGCAAGUCGAACGAGACCUUCGGGUCUAGUGGCGCACGGGUGCGUAACGCGUGGGAACCUGCCCUUAGGUUCGGAAUAACUCCCCGAAAGGGGUGCUAAUACCGGAUAAUGUCUUCGGACCAAAGAUUUAUCGCCUUUGGAUGGGCCCGCGUUGGAUUAGCUAGUUGGUAGGGUAAAAGCCUACCAAGGCGACGAUCCAUAGCUGGUCUGAGAGGAUGAUCAGCCACACUGGGACUGAGACACGGCCCAGACUCCUACGGGAGGCAGCAGUGAGGAAUAUUGGACAAUGGGCGAAAGCCUGAUCCAGCAAUGCCGCGUGAGUGAUGAAGGCCUUAGGGUUGUAAAGCUCUUUUACCCGGGAUGAUAGUGACAGUACCGGGAGAAUAAGCUCCGGCUAACUCCGUG
RNAcentral lists this ribosomal RNA (433 nucleotides) under uncultured bacterium. RNAcentral's name for it is "partial 16S ribosomal RNA". It matches the Rfam family "Bacterial small subunit ribosomal RNA", at positions 29 to 507 of the family's 1533-position model. The record is from RNAcentral.